Molecule: long non-coding RNA, 239 nt
Filed under: Capsicum annuum
Lineage: Eukaryota; Viridiplantae; Streptophyta; Magnoliopsida; Solanales; Solanaceae
Description: long non-coding RNA (CANN_LNC003924)
Source: RNAcentral
CACAAACCAACCACCUUAAACUAAUUGAACAAGAGGCAACAAAUAUGUUAGAGUUCAACCUUUUUUUGAAACCUCUUUUUUUCUUGAAAAUAUCACCGAACCCAAGAAGGGCGCCUACGUAUCUCGCCCCCGAGAGGGGAGAAUUAGGUGUGCGUAGUUCGUGAAGUCGUGCCAAAAUGGCCAAUUGAACUCUUUGUUUUCUUUCUUUUUUUUCUUUUUCUCGAAACUUUAAGAAGAAA